Molecule: ribosomal RNA, 500 nt
Filed under: uncultured bacterium
Lineage: Bacteria
Description: partial 16S ribosomal RNA
Rfam family: Bacterial small subunit ribosomal RNA
Source: RNAcentral
AUUGAACGCUGGCGAAAUGCUUUACACAUGCAAGUCGAACGGCAGCACGGACUUCGGUCUGGUGGCGAGUGGCGAACGGGUGAGUAAUGUAUCGGAACGUGCCCAGUCGUGGGGGAUAACGUAGUGAAAAUUACGCUAAUACCGCAUACGAUCUAUGGAUGAAAGCGGGGGAUCGCAAGACCUCACGCGAUUGGAGCGGCCGAUAUCAGAUUAGGUAGUUGGUGGGGUAAAGGCCCACCAAGCCAACGAUCUGUAGCUGGUCUGAGAGGACGACCAGCCACACUGGAACUGAGACACGGUCCAGACUCCUACGGGAGGCAGCAGUGGGGAAUUUUGGACAAUGGGCGAAAGCCUGAUCCAGCCAUUCCGCGUGCAGGAUGAAGGCCCUCGGGUUGUAAACUGCUUUUGUACAGAACGAAAAGGUUUCUACUAAUACUAGGAGCUCAUGACGGUACUGUAAGAAUAAGCACCGGCUAACUACGUGCCAGCCGCCGCGGUAA